AAAUUGGUCCUUUUUAGGGCCACAACACACAAACAUGAAGAGGGUUG
Molecule: non-coding RNA, 47 nt
Organism: Harpegnathos saltator (Jerdon's jumping ant)
Lineage: Eukaryota; Metazoa; Arthropoda; Insecta; Hymenoptera; Formicidae
Source: Rfam